UACGUAGGGGGCAAGCGUUGUCCGGAUUUAUUGGGCGUAAAGAGCGUGUAGGCGGCUAGGUAGGUCCGUUGUGAAAACUCGAGGCUCAACCUCGAGACGCCGAUGGAAACCAUCUAGCUAGAGUCCGGAAGAGGAGAGUGGAAUUCCUGGUGUAGCGGUGAAAUGCGCAGAUAUCAGGAAGAACACCCGUGGCUAAGGCGGCUCUCUAGUACGGUACUGACGCUGAGACGCGAAAGCGUGGGGAGCGAACGGG
RNAcentral lists this ribosomal RNA (253 nucleotides) under uncultured bacterium. Its description in RNAcentral is "partial 16S ribosomal RNA". It matches the Rfam family "Bacterial small subunit ribosomal RNA", at positions 524 to 776 of the family's 1533-position model. The record is from RNAcentral.